GACGAACGCUGGCGGCGUGCUUAACACAUGCAAGUCGAACGAAGAGCGAUGGAAGCUUGCUUCUAUCAAUCUUAGUGGCGAACGGGUGAGUAACGCGUAAUCAACCUGCCCUUCAGAGGGGGACAACAGUUGGAAACGACUGCUAAUACCGCAUACGAUCUAAUCUCGGCAUCGAGGAUAGAUGAAAGGUGGCCUCUAUGUAUAAGCUAUCACUGAAGGAGGGGAUUGCGUCUGAUUAGCUAGUUGGAGGGGUAACGGCCCACCAAGGCGAUGAUCAGUAGCCGGUCGGAGAGGAUGAACGGCCACAUUGGGACUGAGACACGGCCCAGACUCCUACGGGAGGCAGCAGUGGGGAAUCUUCCGCAAUGGACGAAAGUCUGACGGAGCAACGCCGCGUGAGUGAUGACGGCCUUCGGGUUGUAAAGCUCUGUUAAUCGGGACGAAAGGCCUUCUUGCGAAUAGUGAGAAGGAUUGACGGUACCGGAAUAGAAAGCCACGGCUAACUACGUG
RNAcentral lists this ribosomal RNA (510 nucleotides) under uncultured bacterium. RNAcentral describes it as "partial 16S ribosomal RNA". It matches the Rfam family "Bacterial small subunit ribosomal RNA", at positions 28 to 507 of the family's 1533-position model. The record is from RNAcentral.